CGACACGCUUCAUCGUCGUUUAUAAAGUAAGAAUUUUAAAAUUUUACUUGCUUUUUUAUUUAAGAUAAAUGAGUGAGGAGAUUAAAGUUUAUUUUGAUGCUACUGAGAAAGCAAGUCGUCUAUCGUGUUGUAUCUGUUACGUUAUCAUCUUGGAGAAUUGAAGUUAAGUGCUAUAUUGUAUAUGUAGUAUAUUUAUUUGAUAUCAACAGAAAAAAAGGUUGAACAUUACUUUAAUUAGGAAAGCUAAAGUAAUUGUAUCCGAAUACUUUUGAAGUGAAACUUCUUUACGCACAGUAAGGAACAUUAUAAAACUCCAGAUGCCAUAAAAUUACGGAGCAUCAGUUGUAUCAGUCUUCAUUUGCUCCAGAAAGUAUAUGUCUACUUGUGGUCUUAAAGAACGCAUGGAAGUGGUUUUUUUCCAUUGGGAAUGACAAAAAGUGUGCUGUUGCUGUAGGAGAAAUUCAUGACACUGAACUGCCGAUGCUUUUGACGUCUUCACCUAGCAACAUUAUGCAGUUAAUUUUGGCCCUGAGAUUGGGAGGCAUUUGGAAAAUUAAUUUUGAAGCCACUGAAACAACAAAUUGUCUGCAAUGGUACCCUUCGUAGAUUUGGUUUGUUCAAUACACUGAUGAACUUUAGAACACUACUUUUUAUAGUUAACUAAGGAACUUUGGAAGAAUUCCAAAUUCUGUUAAAUUGUGGAGUAUUUGUUGUAUCAGUCGUCAAUCACUCUAGAAAGUAGCUGCGCCUAUGGUCCUAAAAAAAAGCAUCAAAAAGCCAUUUUCCCAUUGGGAACGGAGACAGUGUGCUGUUGUUGUAGAAAGGAUUUAUGACAAUGAACUGAUUGUCGUAACAGAUAAGAAGGAAUUGGUGCUACUGAAACAACCGAUGCUUUUGAUGUUUUCACCUUGCAACAAUAUGCAGUUAGUUUUCGCCCUGAGAAUGGGAGGCAAAUGGAAAUUAAUUUGGAAACCACUGAAACAACAAAUUGUCUGCAGUGAUAUACCCUAGAUUUGCUUUGCUCAUCAUACUGGCAGACUUUGGAACGCUACAUUCUACAAUUGGUUAAGAUCGUUCAACAAGUGAGAGGGAGUUGGAAGUUCAGUUUGGUCGUACUGAAACAACCAUUGUCUACAUGGGUGUGGUCUUUGGUGAACUACAUCCUUGAUUGGCCGUUUUCGUCUUCGCUUUGCAUCAUUAUGCAGUUAGUUUUGAACUGUUGAGUGAGAGCAACAGAAUAUUUAUUUGAUUUCCACUGAAAUAAGGAAUUUUCUGCAUUGGCAUUAUUCCUGGAUUUGGUUUGCUUUUCCCACCUGCAAACUUUGAAACAUUACAGUCUACAGUGAAUUAAGGAACGUUGGAAGAAUUCCAAAUUCUGUUAAAUUGUGGAGUAUUUAUUGUCUCAGUCGUCAAUCGCUCAAGAAAGUAGCGUUUCCUAUGGUCCUAAAAAGAGCAUAAAAACGUCAUUUAUCCAGUGUGCUGUUGUUGAAGAAAGGAUUUAUGACAAUGAACUGAUUGUCGUAACAGAUAAGAAGGAAUUGGUGCUACUGAAACAACCGAUGCUUUUGAUGUUUUCACCUUGCAACAUUAUGCAGUUAGUUUUGGCCCUGAAAAUGGCAGGCAAGUGAAAAUUAAUUCGGAAGUCACUGAAACAACAAGUUUUCUGCAGUGAUAUCCCUCCUAGAUUUGAUUUGCUCAUCAUACUGGCAGACUUUGGAACGCUACAUUCUACAAUUGGUUAAGAUCGUUCAACAAGUGAGAGGGAGUUGGAAGUUCAGUUUGGUCGUACUGAAACAACCAUUGUCUACAUGGGUGUGGUCUUUGGUGAACUACAUCCUUGAUUGGCCGUUUUCGUCUUCGCUUUGCAUCAUUAUGCAGUUAGUUUUGAACUGUUGAGUGAGAGCAACAGAAUAUUUAUUUGAUUUCCACUGAAAUAAGGAAUUUUCUGCAUUGGCAUUAUUCCUGGAUUUGGUUUGCUUUUCCCACCUGCAAACUUUGAAACAUUACAGUCUACAGUGAAUUAAGGAACGUUGGAAGAAUUCCAAAUUCUGUUAAAUUGUGGAGUAUUUAUUGUCUCAGUCGUCAAUCGCUCAAGAAAGUAGCGUUUCCUAUGGUCCUAAAAAGAGCAUAAAAACGUCAUUUAUCCAGUGUGCUGUUGUUGAAGAAAGGAUUUAUGACAAUGAACUGAUUGUCGUAACAGAUAAGAAGGAAUUGGUGCUACUGAAACAACCGAUGCUUUUGAUGUUUUCACCUUGCAACAUUAUGCAGUUAGUUUUGGCCCUGAAAAUGGCAGGCAAGUGAAAAUUAAUUCGGAAGUCACUGAAACAACAAGUUUUCUGCAGUGAUAUCCCUCCUAGAUUUGAUUUGCUCAUCAUACUGGCAUACUUUGGAACGCUACAUUGUACAAUUGGUUAAGAUCGUUCAACAAGUGAGAGGGAGUUGGAAGUUCAGUUUGGUCGUACUGAAACAACCAUUGUCUACAUGGGUGUGGUCUUUGGUGAACUACAUCCUUGAUUUGCUGUUUUCGUCUUCGCUUUGCAUCAUU
Molecule: long non-coding RNA, 2545 nt
Filed under: Agrilus planipennis (emerald ash borer)
Lineage: Eukaryota; Metazoa; Arthropoda; Insecta; Coleoptera; Buprestidae
Description: uncharacterized LOC108738401, transcript variant X1
Source: RNAcentral